Molecule: ribosomal RNA, 499 nt
Filed under: uncultured bacterium
Lineage: Bacteria
Description: partial 16S ribosomal RNA
Rfam family: Bacterial small subunit ribosomal RNA
Source: RNAcentral
AUUGAACGCUGGCGGCAGGCCUAACACAUGCAAGUCGAGCGGAUGACGGGAGCUUGCUCCUUGAUUCAGCGGCGGACGGGUGAGUAAUGCCUAGGAAUCUGCCUGGUAGUGGGGGACAACGUUUCGAAAGGAACGCUAAUACCGCAUACGUCCUACGGGAGAAAGCAGGGACCUUCGGGCCUUGCGCUAUCAGAUGAGCCUAGGUCGGAUUAGCUAGUUGGUGGGGUAAUGGCUCACCAAGGCGACGAUCCGUAACUGGUCUGAGAGGAUGAUCAGUCACACUGGAACUGAGACACGGUCCAGACUCCCACGGGAGGCAGCAGUGGGGAAUAUUGGACAAUGGGCGAAAGCCUGAUCCAGCCAUGCCGCGUGUGUGAAGAAGGUCUUCGGAUUGUAAAGCACUUUAAGUUGGGAGGAAGGGCAGUAAGCUAAUACCUUGCUGUUUUGACGUUACCGACAGAAUAAGCACCGGCUAACUCUGUGCCAGCCGCCGCGGUAA